AUUGAACGCUGGCGGCAGGCCUAACACAUGCAAGUCGAACGGUAACAGGAAACAGCUUGCUGUUUCGCUGACGAGUGGCGGACGGGUGAGUAAUGUCUGGGAAACUGCCUGAUGGAGGGGGAUAACUACUGGAAACGGUAGCUAAUACCGCAUAACGUCGCAAGACCAAAGAGGGGGACCUUCGGGCCUCUUGCCAUCGGAUGUGCCCAGAUGGGAUUAGCUAGUAGGUGGGGUAACGGCUCACCUAGGCGACGAUCCCUAGCUGGUCUGAGAGGAUGACAAGCCACACUGGAACUGAGACACGGUCCAGACUCCUACGGGAGGCAGCAGUGGGGAAUAUUGCACAAUGGGCGCAAGCCUGAUGCAGCCAUGCCGCGUGUAUGAAGAAGGCCUUCGGGUUGUAAAGUACUUUCAGCGGGGAUGAAGGGAGUAAAGUUAAUACCUUUGCUCAUUGACGUUACCCGCAGAAGAAGCACCGGCUAACUCCGUG
Molecule: ribosomal RNA, 490 nt
Filed under: uncultured bacterium
Lineage: Bacteria
Description: partial 16S ribosomal RNA
Rfam family: Bacterial small subunit ribosomal RNA
Source: RNAcentral